RNAcentral lists this ribosomal RNA (465 nucleotides) under uncultured bacterium. RNAcentral describes it as "partial 16S ribosomal RNA". It matches the Rfam family "Bacterial small subunit ribosomal RNA", at positions 28 to 507 of the family's 1533-position model. The record is from RNAcentral.
GACGGACGCUGGCGGCGUGCUUAACACAUGCAAGUCGAACGGAAAGGCCCCAGCUUGCUGGGGUACUCGAGUGGCGAACGGGUGAGUAACACGUGGGUGAUCUGCCCUGCACUCUGGGAUAAGCCUGGGAAACUGGGUCUAAUACCGGAUAGGACCGUGCUUUAGUGUGUGCGGUGGAAAGUUUUUCGGUGCAGGAUGAGCCCGCGGCCUAUCAGCUUGUUGGUGGGGUAAUGGCCUACCAAGGCGGCGACGGGUAGCCGGCCUGAGAGGGUGUACGGCCACAUUGGGACUGAGACACGGCCCGGACUCCUACGGGAGGCAGCAGUGGGGAAUAUUGCACAAUGGGCGCAAGCCUGAUGCAGCGACGCCGCGUGGGGGAUGACGGCCUUCGGGUUGUAAACCCCUUUCGGCAGGGACGAAGCUUUUGUGACGGUACCUGCAUAAGAAGCACCGGCUAACUACGUG